Long non-coding RNA from Hibiscus syriacus, 241 nucleotides. RefSeq lists it as uncharacterized. The record is from RefSeq and is a predicted model, not a curated record. The transcript has 3 exons. Lineage: Eukaryota; Viridiplantae; Streptophyta; Magnoliopsida; Malvales; Malvaceae.
ACCUGCAAAACAAACACCUUUGAAAUUAAAAAGGAACCGCAUAAACAAACAUGCAGUGAUAGAUGGAUUUGUACCUGUUGUAAGCCAACUUUUGGGUGAAUAAAGUUCAAUUGACUUAGCUUUGUCUAAACAUAUUUCUGCAUCAGGCUACGAACCAAAUUUGGUAUAAAUUGUAGCUAGAUCUUGCCAGGCAGCCAUUUCCAUAUUUCUUUCAGCUGCAUUUUGUGUAUCAGAACUCCUU